RNAcentral lists this ribosomal RNA (253 nucleotides) under uncultured bacterium. RNAcentral's name for it is "partial 16S ribosomal RNA". It matches the Rfam family "Bacterial small subunit ribosomal RNA", at positions 524 to 776 of the family's 1533-position model. The record is from RNAcentral.
UACGGAGGGGGCUAGCGUUAUUCGGAAUUAUUGGGCGUAAAGGGCGCGUAGGCGGCCCGGUAAGUCAAAGGUGAAAUCCCUCGGCUCAACUGAGGAACUGCCUUUGAAACUGUCGGGCUUGAGGCCAGGAGGGGGUAGCGGAAUUCCCAGUGUAGCGGUGAAAUGCGUAGAUAUUGGGAGGAACACCGGUGGCGAAGGCGGCUACCUGGACCGGUUCUGACGCUGAUGCGCGAAAGCGUGGGUAGCAAACAGG